Molecule: long non-coding RNA, 1837 nt
Organism: Chinchilla lanigera (long-tailed chinchilla)
Lineage: Eukaryota; Metazoa; Chordata; Mammalia; Rodentia; Chinchillidae
Source: Ensembl
UCACGGCUUCCCAAACUCUCAUCUCACAAAGCAGGAGGCGGAGGCCCUGUGAGAAGAGGGCCUGGCCUGGGGACUGCGCAGUGCUGGCCAGGUGAAGGGGGCCGUCUCGGAGGCUGUGGGCCCGGUGCAGUGCGGGUGGCGGUCUCAGGAAUAGGAUGAGGCGCCCAGGCUGAGAGGGUAGGAGUUGCUGAACAGGACAGACGGGACCAGCUCUCCACACACUUCCCUGUGGCCAUCGGUGUCCACAUUCCCUGGCCUCUGUGUCCAUGGGCUCCCUGUGGCCUGAACCCACCCACAGCUCUUCUGAGGUGCCCAUGGGCUAUUGGAGUUAGUCUGCCUCCAAAAGAGAGAGAGACAGGGAGUGAGCGAGAGACAGAGUCAGAGACAGACAGAGAGAGAGUGAGCGAGACAGAGGCAUUUGGGUCCUUGUCCUGGGGUGGCUCACAGGUGAUGUGUGAGGGGUGUGACUGAAGAAGCCCUUGCCUGGUGUCCAGACAGCUCAGAGACGGAGUCACACCCCAGGGCCCCCUGGAGCAGAGUCACCGGGCGGCAGAGUCCAGGGCCACUCACAUCCCACACGCACUGCAGAAGGCAGCGGCUUCCUGGACAGGUUUCCCCUGUGAGCGGCAGUCUCACGUCUGGGUGCUGCUGGCUCCUGGUGUCCUACAUCUGGGACAGCAGCCUACGGAACUGAUCGCCAGCUUCUCCACCGCUGACCAGCCGGGACACCUUGUAUCGCCUGCUCUCCUCCAGCUCUCGGUUUGUCUACCUGCAAAGCAGUCACAGUGGUGCUGGGCUCUGGGCGGUGCUUGCUGUAACAGCCAGGCGAGCAGGGUAACUCCCUCCCCUCUCGCCAUCCCCGGCACUUUCCAGGGCUCGGCCUCAGGUAUCCCCUUGGCAAGCAGGGACCUGACCACUCAGGACUGUCUAGAGGAUCCAGGGGAUGGUUAGGCUCCCGGCCUGGAACGGAGAAGGUGUCCACACAUCAUGACUCACACUGAAAGUCACAGCCAGGACGGGAGGAUCAGCUGGAGCACAGCAAAGUUGGAGCCAGGGAGGAAAGCAGGAUUUGCAAAUGGUUCAGCAAGACCACAUUUAUUAAUGCAGUUCAGUUGUAUAAUUCUUUGUAUAAUUAGCAAGAGAUCAUAACGCUGAGUGAAAGAAAUCAGACACAGAAUGGCAGAGGGUGCGUGCUUUCUCUGCUAUGAGAAACCCAGGACAAAUAAUUUAAACAGCAAAAUAUAAAGGAGAGGUGGUGUGGAUUGACCACUAGGGUGGUCAACUUACAACCCCCAGCUGAACUGAGUAAGCGUGGCGCCGGGUGUGGGAGGCCCACCUGAGGACUGUUGCCAGCAGCAUAAGAGGCAGAACUGGAGAAGAAGAGGUGAGGCUGUUGGGAGCUGAGAGAGGCUGUUGGGAGCUGGUAGAAACUGUAAGGAGCUGUUGGUUGUUUCAGAGGAGCUCAUCAUGCUGACUUUCCUGAUAAACUUGGCUGUUCUCACCCCCGAGACGCUCGGGGCCUUGUCGCUGAGGAUGGCUUCACUUCACUUUCGGGGAGCUCUGGUCCUCACUUGGAGCAUCGCUUCCUGGCUCCAGAGGGGAAGAUGGUGCACUGCCGGUCUCCUGAGAAACUUGCUGCGUUGGCUUCCCUGAUGGGAACUUGGCUGUCCUGACCAUCGGAGGAGCUCAGGACUUCACUGUUGCUGAGGACGACUGUGGUACUUUUCAGGGGAGCUCUGGUUCUUACUUUGCGCAUAACUUCCUGGCUGCAGUGCAGAUCCUUCACCCUGCUAGCACAGAUCCUUCAUCCCACUGGCACAGACUUCCUAGAUUCCAC